Molecule: ribosomal RNA, 327 nt
Filed under: uncultured Bacillota bacterium
Lineage: Bacteria; Bacillati; Bacillota
Description: bacterial SSU rRNA
Rfam family: Bacterial small subunit ribosomal RNA
Source: RNAcentral
GACGAACGCUGGCGGCGUGCCUAAUACAUGCAAGUCGAGCGGAUUAUGCCUUCGGGAAUAGUUAGCGGCGGACGGGUGAGUAACACGUAGGCAACCUGCCUGUAGGAUCGGGAUAACUACCGGAAACGGUAGCUAAGACCGAAUAGCUGUUUCUGGCGCAUGCCGGAAACAAGAAACGCGGAGCAAUCUGUGACCUAUAGAUGGGCCUGCGGCGCAUUAGCUAGUUGGUGGGGUAACGGCCUACCAAGGCGACGAUGCGUAGCCGACCUGAGAGGGUGAUCGGCCACACUGGGACUGAGACACGGCCCAGACUCCUACGGGUGGCAG